Molecule: ribosomal RNA, 434 nt
Filed under: uncultured bacterium
Lineage: Bacteria
Description: partial 16S ribosomal RNA
Rfam family: Bacterial small subunit ribosomal RNA
Source: RNAcentral
AGCGAACGCUGGCGGCAGGCCUAACACAUGCAAGUCGAACGAACCUUUCGGGGUUAGUGGCGGACGGGUGAGUAACACGUGGGAACGUGCCUUUAGGUUCGGAAUAACUCAGGGAAACUUGUGCUAAUACCGAAUGUGCCCUUCGGGGGAAAGAUUAAUCGCCUUUAGAGCGGCCCUCGUCUGAUUAGCUAGUUGGUUGAGGUAAUGGCUCACCAAGGCGACGAUCAGUAGCUGGUCUGAGAGGAUGAUCAGCCACAUUGGGACUGAGACACGGCCCAAACUCCUACGGGAGGCAGCAGUGGGGAAUCUUGCGCAAUGGGCGAAAGCCUGACGCAGCCAUGCCGCGUGAAUGAUGAAGGUCUUAGGAUUGUAAAAUUCUUUCACCGGGGACGAUAAUGACGGUACCCGGAGAAGAAGCCCCGGCUAACUUCGUG